GAUGAAGAACGUAGCGAAAUGCGAUAAGUAAUGUGAAUUGCAGAAUUCCGUGAAUCAUCGAAUCUUUGAACGCACAUUGCGCCCCCUGGUAUUCCGGGGGGCAUGCCUGUCCGAGCGUCAUUGCAACCCUCAAGCGCGGCUUGUGUGUUGGGCUUCGUCCCCCCGUGGACGUGCCCGAAAGGCAGUGGCGGCGUCCCGAAUGGUGCCCGAGCGUAUGGGAACUCUCUUCCGCUCGAACCGGCCCAUUCGGCGCUGGUCGAACCCCAAUUUUUUUUUACCGGUUGACCUCGGAUCAGGUAGGGAUACCCGCUGAACUUAAGCAUAUCAUAAGCGGAGGA
This 338-nucleotide unclassified non-coding RNA is filed under the name soil metagenome. RNAcentral describes it as "partial contains 5.8S ribosomal RNA, internal transcribed spacer 2, and large subunit ribosomal RNA". The stretch from base 1 to 120 matches the Rfam family "5.8S ribosomal RNA", at positions 35 to 154 of the family's 154-position model. The record is from RNAcentral.